RNAcentral lists this ribosomal RNA (427 nucleotides) under uncultured bacterium. RNAcentral describes it as "partial 16S ribosomal RNA". It matches the Rfam family "Bacterial small subunit ribosomal RNA", at positions 355 to 774 of the family's 1533-position model. The record is from RNAcentral.
UGGGGAAUAUUGCACAAUGGGCGCAAGCCUGAUGCAGCCAUGCCGCGUGUAUGAAGAAGGCCUUCGGGUUGUAAAGUACUUUCAGCGGGGAGGAAGGUGUUGUGGUUAAUAACCACAGCAAUUGACGUUACCCGCAGAAGAAGCACCGGCUAACUCCGUGCCAGCAGCCGCGGUAAUACGGAGGGCGCCAGCGUUAAUCGGAAUUACUGGGCGUAAAGCGCACGCAGGCGGUCUGUCAAGUCGGAUGUGAAAUCCCCGGGCUCAACCUGGGAACUGCAUCCGAAACUGGCAGGCUUGAGUCUUGUAGAGGGGGGUAGAAUUCCAGGUGUAGCGGUGAAAUGCGUAGAGAUCUGGAGGAAUACCGGUGGCGAAGGCGGCCCCCUGGACAAAGACUGACGCUCAGGUGCGAAAGCGUGGGGAGCAAACA